This 253-nucleotide ribosomal RNA is filed under the name uncultured bacterium. RNAcentral's name for it is "partial 16S ribosomal RNA". It matches the Rfam family "Bacterial small subunit ribosomal RNA", at positions 524 to 776 of the family's 1533-position model. The record is from RNAcentral.
UACGAAGGGGGCUAGCGUUGCUCGGAAUUACUGGGCGUAGAGCGCACGUAGGCGGCUUGUUAAGUCAGGGGUGAAAUCCUGGAGCUCAACUCCAGAACUGCCUUUGAUACUGGCGAGCUUGAGUUCGGGAGAGGUGAGUGGAACUGCGAGUGUAGAGGUGAAAUUCGUAGAUAUUCGCAAGAACACCAGUGGCGAAGGCGGCUCACUGGCCCGAUACUGACGCUGAGGUGCGAAAGCGUGGGGAGCAAACAGG